UGGGGAAUAUUGCACAAUGGGCGCAAGCCUGAUGCAGCAACGCCGCGUGAACGAUGAAGGUCUUCGGAUCGUAAAGUUCUGUUGCAGGGGAAGAUAAUGACGGUACCCUGUGAGGAAGCCCCGGCUAACUACGUGCCAGCAGCCGCGGUAAUGCGUAGGGGGCUAGCGUUAUCCGGAUUUACUGGGCGUAAAGGGUGCGUAGGUGGUCUUUCAAGUCGGUGGUUAAAGGCUACGGCUCAACCGUAGUUAGCCUCCGAAACUGGAAGACUUGAGUGCAGGAGAGGAAAGGGGAAGUCCCAGUGUAGCGGUGAAAUGCGUAGAUAUUGGGAGGAGCACCAGAAGCGAAGGCGGCUUGCUGGACUGCAACUGACACUGAGGCACGAAAGCGUAGGUAGCAAACAGG
RNAcentral lists this ribosomal RNA (403 nucleotides) under Verrucomicrobiota bacterium. RNAcentral describes it as "Verrucomicrobia bacterium partial 16S ribosomal RNA". It matches the Rfam family "Bacterial small subunit ribosomal RNA", at positions 355 to 776 of the family's 1533-position model. The record is from RNAcentral. Lineage: Bacteria; Pseudomonadati; Verrucomicrobiota.